UACGUAGGGGGCAAGCGUUGUCCGGAUUUACUGGGCGUAAAGCGCGCGUAGGUGGAACGUUAAGUCCGGUCUGAAAGCCCCCGGCUCAACCGGGGAGGGUGGCUGGAAACUGGCGUUCUUGAGGGCGAGAGAGGAGGGUGGAAUUCCUGGUGUAGCGGUGAAAUGCGUAGAGAUCAGGAGGAACACCCGUGGCGAAGGCGGCUCUCUGGGACGGUACUGACGCUGAGACGCGAAAGCGUGGGGAGCGAACAGG
RNAcentral lists this ribosomal RNA (253 nucleotides) under uncultured bacterium. Its description in RNAcentral is "partial 16S ribosomal RNA". It matches the Rfam family "Bacterial small subunit ribosomal RNA", at positions 524 to 776 of the family's 1533-position model. The record is from RNAcentral.